This 301-nucleotide ribosomal RNA is filed under the name uncultured bacterium. RNAcentral describes it as "partial 16S ribosomal RNA". It matches the Rfam family "Bacterial small subunit ribosomal RNA", at positions 509 to 807 of the family's 1533-position model. The record is from RNAcentral.
CAGUCGCUGCGGUAAUACGAAGGGGGCUAGCGUUGUUCGGAAUUACUGGGCGUAAAGCGCACGUAGGCGGAUAUUUAAGUCAGGGGUGAAAUCCCGCAGCUCAACUGCGGAACUGCCUUUGAUACUGGGUAUCUUGAGUAUGGAAGAGGUUAGUGGAAUUGCGAGUGUAGAGGUGAAAUUCGUAGAUAUUCGCAGGAACACCAGUGGCGAAGGCGGCUAACUGGUCCAUAACUGACGCUGAGGUGCGAAAGCGUGGGGAGCAAACAGGAUUAGAGACCCCUGUAGUCCCUGUCUCUUAUAC